CCUACGGGAGGCAGCAGUGGGGAAUAUUGCACAAUGGGGGAAACCCUGAUGCAGCAACGCCGCGUGAGUGAUGAAGGUUUUAGGAUUGUAAACUCCUUUUAUCAGAGAAGAUAAUGACGGUAUCUCACUAAUAAGCCCCGGCUAACUCCGUGCCAGCAGCCGCGGUAAUACGGAGGGUGCAAGCGUUACGCGGAAUCACUGGGCGUAAAGAGUGCGCAGGCGGGAGUGUAAGUCAGACGUGAAAUCCUGUAGCUUAACUACAGAACUGCAUUGGAAACUAUGCGGCUAGAGUGUGGGAGAGGUAGGUGGAAUUCUUGGUGUAGGGGUAAAAUCCGUAGAUAUCAAGAGGAACACUCAUGGCGAAGGCGACCUACUGGAACAUGACUGACGCUGAUGCACGAAAGCGUGGGGAGCAAACAGGAUUAGAUACCCGAGUAGUC
RNAcentral lists this ribosomal RNA (440 nucleotides) under uncultured bacterium. RNAcentral's name for it is "partial 16S ribosomal RNA". It matches the Rfam family "Bacterial small subunit ribosomal RNA", at positions 338 to 795 of the family's 1533-position model. The record is from RNAcentral.